Molecule: ribosomal RNA, 253 nt
Filed under: uncultured bacterium
Lineage: Bacteria
Description: partial 16S ribosomal RNA
Rfam family: Bacterial small subunit ribosomal RNA
Source: RNAcentral
UACAGAGGAUGCAAGCGUUAUCCGGAAUGAUUGGGCGUAAAGCGUCUGUAGGUGGCUUUUUAAGUCCGCCGUCAAAUCCCAGGGCUCAACUCUGGACAGGCGGUGGAAACUACCAAGCUGGAGUACGGCAGGGGCAGAGGGAAUUUCCGGUGGAGCGGUGAAAUGCGUAGAGAUCCGGAGGAACACCAAAGGCGAAGGCAGUGUCCUGGGGAGUACCUGACGCUCAGGUGCGAAAGCCAGGGGAGCGAACGGG